RNAcentral lists this ribosomal RNA (310 nucleotides) under uncultured bacterium. Its description in RNAcentral is "bacterial SSU rRNA". It matches the Rfam family "Bacterial small subunit ribosomal RNA", at positions 199 to 507 of the family's 1533-position model. The record is from RNAcentral.
CAUUAAAGUCACAACGGCAAAAGAAUGAGCAUGCGUCCCAUUAGCUAGUUGGUAAGGUAACGGCUUACCAAGGCUACGAUGGGUAGGGGUCCGUGAGAGGGAGAUCCCCACCACUGGUACUGAGACACGGACCAGACUCCUACGGGAGGCAGCAGUGAGGAAUAUUGGACAAUGGGCGCAAGCCUGAUCCAGCCAUGCCGCGUGCAGGAUGACGGUCCUAUGGAUUGUAAACUGCUUUUGUACAGGAAGAAACACUACUUCGUGAAGUAGCUUGACGGUACUGUAAGAAUAAGGAUCGGCUAACUCCGUG